This 692-nucleotide ribosomal RNA is filed under the name uncultured bacterium. RNAcentral's name for it is "bacterial SSU rRNA". It matches the Rfam family "Bacterial small subunit ribosomal RNA", at positions 825 to 1502 of the family's 1533-position model. The record is from RNAcentral.
GGUAGUUCUGACACUGGCACAGCCGAAGCAAAAGUGUUAAGUAGACCGCCUGGGGAGUACGGUCGCAAGGCUAAAACUCAAAGGAAUUGACGGGGGCUCACACAAGCGGUGGAGCAUGUGGAUUAAUUCGAAGCAACGCGCAGAACCUUACCUGGGUUUGACAUGUUUGGAUACUAACUGGGAAACCAGGGAUGCUGCCCUUCGGGGUGAAACUUACACAGGUGCUGCAUGGCUGUCGUCAGCUCGUGUCGUGAGAUGUCGGGUUAAGUCCUUUAACGAGCGAAACCCUUGCCGUUAGUUGCCAGCGAGUAACGUCGGGGACUCUAGCGGGACUGCCGGUGUUAAACCGGAGGAAGGCGGGGAUGACGUCAAGUCCUCAUGGCCUUUAUGCCCAGGGCUUCACACGUGCUACAAUGGUACCUACAAAGCGAAGCGAGACCGCGAGGUGGAGCAAAUCGCAAAAAAGGUGCCUCAGUUCGGAUUGCAGGCUGACAACUCGCCUGCAUGAAGUUGGAAUCGCUAGUAAUCGCGUAUCAGCUAUGACGCGGUGAAUAUGUUCCUGAGCCUUGUACACACCGCCCGUCAAGUGAUGGAAGUUGGGAGUACCCGAAGUCGGAUUGCUAACCUUUUAUUAGGAGGCGUCUGCCGACGGUAAGCUCGAUGACUGGCACUAAGUCGUAACAAGGUAGCCG